CCCUUAGAUGUUCUGGGCUGCACGCGCGCUACACUGAUGCACUCAACGAGUUUACGACCUUGCCCGAUAGGGUUGGGUAAUCUUUUUAAAAUGUAUCGUGAUGGGGAUAGAUUAUUGCAAUUAUUAAUCUUCAACGAGGAAUUCCUAGUAAGCGCGAGUCAUCAGCUCGUGCUGAUUACGUCCCUGCCCUUUGUACACACCGCCCGUCGCUCCUACCGAUUGAGUGCUCAGGUGAAUAAUUCGGACUGCAGCAAUGUUUGGAUCCCGAACGUUGCAGCGGAAAGUUUAGUGAACCUUAUCACUUAGAGGAAGGAGAAGUCGUAACA
RNAcentral lists this ribosomal RNA (326 nucleotides) under uncultured eukaryote. Its description in RNAcentral is "partial 18S ribosomal RNA". It matches the Rfam family "Eukaryotic small subunit ribosomal RNA", at positions 1470 to 1796 of the family's 1831-position model. The record is from RNAcentral.